This 255-nucleotide ribosomal RNA is filed under the name uncultured bacterium. Its description in RNAcentral is "partial 16S ribosomal RNA". It matches the Rfam family "Bacterial small subunit ribosomal RNA", at positions 524 to 776 of the family's 1533-position model. The record is from RNAcentral.
UACGUAGGGUGCAGGCGUUUAAUCGGAAUUACUGGGCGUAAAGCGUGCGCAGGCGGUUUGCUAAGACAGGUGUGAAAUCCCCGGGCUUAACCUGGGAAUGGCAUUUGGGACUGCAAGGGCUUGAGUGCGGCAGAGGAGACUGGAAUUCCUGGUGUAGCAGUGAAAUGCGUAGAUAUCAGGAGGAACACCGAUGGCGAAGGCAGGUCUCUGGGCUGACACUGACGCUCAUGCACGAAAGCGUGGGGAGCAAACAGG